Molecule: ribosomal RNA, 253 nt
Filed under: uncultured bacterium
Lineage: Bacteria
Description: partial 16S ribosomal RNA
Rfam family: Bacterial small subunit ribosomal RNA
Source: RNAcentral
UACAGAGGGGGCAAGCGUUAUUCGGAAUUAUUGGGCGUAAAGAGCGUGUAGGCGGCCAUGCAGGUCCGCUGUGAAAACUCGAGGCUCAACCUCGAGACGUCGGUGGAAACCGUUUGGCUAGAGUCCGGAAGAGGAGAGUGGAAUUCCUGGUGUAGCGGUGAAAUGCGCAGAUAUCAGGAAGAACACCCGUGGCGAAGGCGGCUCUCUGGGACGGUACUGACGCUGAGACGCGAAAGCGUGGGGAGCGAACAGG